RNAcentral lists this ribosomal RNA (412 nucleotides) under uncultured bacterium. RNAcentral describes it as "bacterial SSU rRNA". It matches the Rfam family "Bacterial small subunit ribosomal RNA", at positions 110 to 518 of the family's 1533-position model. The record is from RNAcentral.
GAGACACGUAUGCAACCUACCUCCAACAGGGGAAUAACCCGUCGAAAGACGGACUAAUACCCCAUAAUACAGGGCUCCCUCAUGGGAAUAUUUGUUAAAGAUUUAUCGGUUGAAGAUGGGCAUGCGUUCCAUUAGCUAGUUGGUGAGGUAACGGCUCACCAAGGCAACGAUGGAUAGGGGAACUGAGAGGUUUAUCCCCCACACUGGUACUGAGACACGGACCAGACUCCUACGGGAGGCAGCAGUGAGGAAUAUUGGUCAAUGGAGGCAACUCUGAACCAGCCCACGUCACGUGAAGGAUGACGGCCCUACGGGUUGUAAACUUCUUUUGUAAGGGAAUAAAGUUAGUUACGUGUAGCUAUUUGCAUGUACCUUACGAAUAAGGAUCGGCUAACUCCGUGCCAGCCGCAGC